Molecule: non-coding RNA, 365 nt
Filed under: Paenibacillus bovis
Lineage: Bacteria; Bacillati; Bacillota; Bacilli; Caryophanales; Paenibacillaceae
Description: T-box sequence
Rfam family: T-box leader
About the family: Uncharged tRNA acts as the effector for transcription antitermination of genes in the T-box leader family.
Source: RNAcentral
AUAAAUUCAGUGAUGGGGCCAGUACAGGCUGUCAUUGUUCCCAGAGAGUUGGCGGAAGGUGCAAGCCAAUGAACAAUGCGCUAUGGAAAAUCUCCCCGGAGAAGCGCGGCUGAACCAUAAUUGCAGUAAGCCAAGCCGGAUUGCCUGUCGUUAACAAGGCACCGCAUAGUAUAGUGCGGGUACAAGUGUCAUUUUAUCUGUGGGGAUUUAUUUCUGCAGCCACAAGUACAUUUCAUGGAUGAUUCAGCUCUUUUACAGGCUGAUUUCCAAAAAAAAGUACAGUAGGCCAGGAAAAGAUUCUCAGCUUCGAAAGCAAACAGAUAAGGUGGAACAAGGGUGGUAACGCGAGCAGCCUCGUCCCUUUU